GAUCAACGCUGGCGGCGUGCAUAACACAUGCAAGUCGAACGAAGUGGCGAACGGGUGAGUAACACGUGAGUAACCUGCCUUACACAAGGGGAUAGCCUUUGGAAACGAAGAAUAAUACCCUAUAGUGUAAGCGUGAGUUGCGUCUGAUUAGAUAGUUGGUGAGAUAAAGGCACACCAAGGCAACGAUCAGUAGCCGGCGUGAGAGCGUGUACGGCCAAAUUGGGAAUGAGACACGGCACAAACUCUACGGGAGGCAGCAGUGGGGAAGUUGGCACAAUGGGGGAAACCCUGAUGCAGCGAAGCCGCGUGAUUUAGAAGGCAGUCGGGGGGUAAAAAUCUUUUUUAUGGGAUGAAGUACCAUAAGAAUAAGGUCCGGCUAAAUACGUGCCAGCCGCCGCGGUAAUUC
This 406-nucleotide ribosomal RNA is filed under the name uncultured bacterium. RNAcentral describes it as "partial 16S ribosomal RNA". It matches the Rfam family "Bacterial small subunit ribosomal RNA", at positions 28 to 526 of the family's 1533-position model. The record is from RNAcentral.